ACCGAGCCUCGUGCAUUGUACGAGAGUUUCCUGGUAUCCUGUAGGGAUUCUGCACUGGUGGAUGUUGGUGCUCGAGCGCACGCAAGUUCAGCCAGGACCUUCAUCGGCGUUGAACCACUAAAAACACAAAAGAAGACGCAAGGUAUAGUGAUAUACGAUUUUCCGCUAGAGGAGCCACUGUCGGCAGAUGUCUCCUUUGCAGUCUUAAAUUCUUGAAAGAAUUCUCACAUCGAAACAUGAUAUUUUCCCUCUCAUGCAAUUUGGAAUGGAAAAUACAUGAAAUCUGAAUUGCUCCUCAUACAGCAAAUAACAUUCAGCGCUUCUGAAGUGGAGAGGAUAUUAGAUCAGACAGCAGACUAGCUGAAGGUGCGGAGUGUAUCAGAUCAAUACUUGCCAUUGAGGCCAAGAAUCAUACGGAUAGCAUCGCUAAAACUUGACCACAAUCCAAGUCGAUGGAAUUUUUAUUCUAUUCGAAUAUCCAAUUGGACUGUUAAAGUUUUUAUCGAAAUAUCCAGCAACCACAAUAAACUGUGAAUACUGUCCAACAGUCGAUCGGUGUUGCAAGGACGUGUCUAGGAGUGGUUUCAAAUGUUGCAGCUAGCACCGUGGGAAUUUACCUCAGGACAGUUAUUGCUAUAACGAAAUUCCAGUUAGAUUUUAGAUCACACCGAUAUUGCUUACAAAACCCUGGCUUAGGUUAGUAAGAAAACAAACUCUAAAAUUUUAAAAUUUAUACGUCAAUUAAUGGUUUGCAAAAGUUUGAGACUGCUUGUUUCCUGAGAAAUAACCUAGAAUAAUGCAAAUUUUGAAAUCUUGAUUGACAGUUGGAUCGUGGACAGAGAAUCUAAUGGUCUAAAACUCAUAUAUCACCUGUUGAACCCAUAUCAGGUGUCAAGUUAUAAUUAAUUUCGUCAGGUAGCCUCAGCCAGUUUUGUGGUAUCUUUAUGAAUGACGAAUGUCCACAGGAUGGUGAUACCAACGAAGGAAGCAUCCUCGAGGAAUAAUCGAAGACCUCAGGUCACUUGUGAAAAUCGAAGAGAAGGUUUACACGACCAUAUCUUACAAUUGGAAUCUGUCACUUUGGGAUUGUGGUAUUUUCUAGAACGAUCAUCAGCAAUGGAUAUUCUUCUCCCUUGAAGAAGAGCAAAGGGGAGUAAGUAUAAUGACAGAGAGAAAAGGGACAAUCCAGGUCGUUCUGAGUAAAUCGAAAGGAGCCUGUCCCUGGAUCCAAGGACCAAUUUAACGCGAAUCCCUCCAGUUAAGGAACCAUUAGCGCCAUCAUUGAAGAUUUCCCAAACCGAGAUGCUUGAUCGACUGAUCCUAAUUUCCUCCACCGUGUACAUCAACCUGAUGCUCUGAGACAUUGCAAGUUCAAAGUGUCGCAGAAGGAUAUAAAAGGAUAUAAACGUAUAUAUAUACUGAAGAAAUAUUGAGAAAUUACAAAGGAAA
Molecule: long non-coding RNA, 1449 nt
Organism: Cephus cinctus (wheat stem sawfly)
Lineage: Eukaryota; Metazoa; Arthropoda; Insecta; Hymenoptera; Cephidae
Exons: 3
Source: RefSeq, a predicted model, not a curated record